UCUGGCCUCGUAGAGAGAUUGACCUCAUAUUUGCUGAAGCGGAUUUGCAACAAAAGUUCUUCGGUAAGAUCUAGGACGCCCUAAAUUUCAUCUUUGAUCUGAUCUUCUAGACAAAAUAUGUGGGCAUCAUCCUGCAACAGGUCCCGAGGUUAAACAAAAAAAAAAAAAAAACACUUCAUACACCUAGGAUUAUAAACUAACAGUUUGCAAAUACUAACACCAUACCUAAGUAAAACCUCUUACAUGAAAAGACCAUGCAAGCUUCCAGAUAAUUCGUAUCUAUAUACGGCUCCCAACUCAGCAACUCGAUUAGGAAAUUCAAGAUAUGAGUGAGGCUUCCUUUUGUAAACCAAGAUAUGAUAGGGGCAGUUCAUCGGUAGA
This 381-nucleotide long non-coding RNA is filed under the name Malus domestica (apple). RNAcentral's name for it is "long non-coding RNA (MDOM_LNC005038)". Lineage: Eukaryota; Viridiplantae; Streptophyta; Magnoliopsida; Rosales; Rosaceae. The record is from RNAcentral.